UGGGGAAUAUUGGACAAUGGGCGCAAGCCUGAUCCAGCAAUGCCGCGUGUGUGAAGAAGGCCUUCGGGUUGUAAAGCACUUUUAUCAGGAGCGAAACGCUGUCGGCUAAUACCCGGCGGAACUGACGGUACCUGAGGAAUAAGCACCGGCUAACUUCGUGCCAGCAGCCGCGGUAAUACGAAGGGUGCAAGCGUUAAUCGGAAUUACUGGGCGUAAAGCGUGCGUAGGCGGUUUCUUAAGUCUGCUGUGAAAUCCCCGGGCUCAACCUGGGAAUGGCAGUGGAUACUGGGAGGCUAGAGUGUGUCAGAGGGUGGUGGAAUUCCCGGUGUAGCGGUGAAAUGCGUAGAGAUCGGGAGGAACAUCAGUGGCGAANNGCGGCCACCUGGGACAACACUGACGCUGAGGCACGAAAGCGUGGGGAGCAAACAGGAUUAGAUACCCUGGUAGUCCACGCCCUAAACGAUGCGAACUGGAUGUUGGUCUCAACUCGGAGAUCAGUGUCGAAGCUAACGCGUUAAGUUCGCCGCCUGGGGAGUACGGUCGCAAGACUGAAACUUAAAUGAAUUGACGGGGUCAUAGCUGUUUCCU
Molecule: ribosomal RNA, 588 nt
Filed under: uncultured bacterium
Lineage: Bacteria
Description: partial 16S ribosomal RNA
Rfam family: Bacterial small subunit ribosomal RNA
Source: RNAcentral